RNAcentral lists this ribosomal RNA (275 nucleotides) under uncultured bacterium. RNAcentral describes it as "partial 16S ribosomal RNA". It matches the Rfam family "Bacterial small subunit ribosomal RNA", at positions 123 to 406 of the family's 1533-position model. The record is from RNAcentral.
UACCUGCCCUUUAGUGGGGGAUAACACGGCGAAAGUCGUGCUAAUACCGCAUGUGAUCGCAAGAUCAAAGUCCGCCUCGGCGGACGCUAAAGGAGGGGCCUGCGUCUGAUUAGCUAGUUGGUAGGAUAAAAGCCUACCAAGGCAACGAUCAGUAGCUGGAUCGAGAGGUUGACCAGCCACACUGGGACUGAGAUACGGCCCAGACUCCUACGGGAGGCAGCAGUAAGGAAUCUCCCACAAUGGACGAAAGUCUGAUGGAGCAACACCGCGUGCAG